Molecule: unclassified non-coding RNA, 224 nt
Filed under: plant metagenome
Description: partial contains small subunit ribosomal RNA and internal transcribed spacer 1
Rfam family: Eukaryotic small subunit ribosomal RNA (bases 1-46)
Source: RNAcentral
AAGUCGUAACAAGGUUUCCGUAGGUGAACCUGCGGAAGGAUCAUUAAAGAGAUAGGGUCUUCAUGGCCCGACCUCCAACCCUCUGUUGUUAUAACUACCUUGUUGCUUUGGCGGGACCGUCUCGGUCUCCGAGCGCACUAGCCCUCGGGUUGGUGAGCGCCGCGCAGAGUCACACAUCUGUUAAUAACCAGUCGUCUGAGUAUAAAAUUUUAAUUAAAUUAAAA